This 548-nucleotide ribosomal RNA is filed under the name Penicillium sp. HCX-2014. RNAcentral describes it as "eukaryotic LSU rRNA". The stretch from base 177 to 329 matches the Rfam family "5.8S ribosomal RNA". The record is from RNAcentral. Lineage: Eukaryota; Fungi; Ascomycota; Eurotiomycetes; Eurotiales; Aspergillaceae.
CCGAGUGAGGGCCCUCUGGGUCCAACCUCCCACCCGUGUUUAUUUUACCUUGUUGCUUCGGCGGGCCCGCCUUAACUGGCCGCCGGGGGGCUUACGCCCCCGGGCCCGCGCCCGCCGAAGACACCCUCGAACUCUGUCUGAAGAUUGUAGUCUGAGUGAAAAUAUAAAUUAUUUAAAACUUUCAACAACGGAUCUCUUGGUUCCGGCAUCGAUGAAGAACGCAGCGAAAUGCGAUACGUAAUGUGAAUUGCAAAUUCAGUGAAUCAUCGAGUCUUUGAACGCACAUUGCGCCCCCUGGUAUUCCGGGGGGCAUGCCUGUCCGAGCGUCAUUUCUGCCCUCAAGCACGGCUUGUGUGUUGGGCCCCGUCCUCCGAUCCCGGGGGACGGGCCCGAAAGGCAGCGGCGGCACCGCGUCCGGUCCUCGAGCGUAUGGGGCUUUGUCACCCGCUCUGUAGGCCCGGCCGGCGCUUGCCGAUCAACCCAAAUUUUUAUCCAGGUUGACCUCGGAUCAGGUAGGGAUACCCGCUGAACUUAAGCAUAUCAAUAAG